RNAcentral lists this ribosomal RNA (505 nucleotides) under uncultured bacterium. RNAcentral's name for it is "partial 16S ribosomal RNA". It matches the Rfam family "Bacterial small subunit ribosomal RNA", at positions 28 to 523 of the family's 1533-position model. The record is from RNAcentral.
GAUGAACGCUAGCUACAGGCUUAACACAUGCAAGUCGAGGGGUAACGAGAGGGAAGCUUGCUUUCCUUGUCGACGACCGGCGCACGGGUGAGUAACGCGUAUCCAACCUGCCCCCAACUAAGGAAUAACCUUGCGAAAGUAAGACUAAUACCCUAUAAUUUCCUCAGAUGACAUCUGACGAGGAAUAAAGAUUUAUCGGUUGUGGAUGGGGAUGCGUCUGAUUAGCUUGUUGGCGGGGUAACGGCCCACCAAGGCAACGAUCAGUAGGGGUUCUGAGAGGAAGGUCCCCGCAUUGGAACUGAGACAAGGUCCAAACUCCUACGGGAGGCAGCAGUGAGGAAUAUUGGUCAAUGGGCGGAAGCCUGAACCAGCCAAGUAGCGUGCAGGAUGACGGCCCUAUGGGUUGUAAACUGCUUUUAUACAGGAAUAAAGUUAGCCACGUGUGGUUAUUUGUAGGUACUGUAUGAAUAAGGACCGGCUAAUUCCGUGCCAGCCGCCGCAGUAA